GAUGAAGAACGUAGCGAAAUGCGAUAAGUAAUGUGAAUUGCAGAAUUCAGUGAAUCAUCGAAUCUUUGAACGCACAUUGCGCCCCUUGGUAUUCCGAGGGGCAUGUCUAUUCGAGCGUCAUUAUCACCCCUCAAGCCUAGCUUGGUGUUGAGGCCUGCUGUCAAGGCAGCCUCUAAAAUCAGUGGCAGUGCUGUCAGGCUCUAAGCGUAGUAAAUCUAAUCGCUAUAGACACCUGGUGGACACUCGCCAGAACCCCCCCAUUUUUUAAUGAUUGACCUCGGAUUAGGUAGGGAUACCCGCUGAACUUAAGCAUAUCAAUAAGCGGAGGA
This 329-nucleotide unclassified non-coding RNA is filed under the name soil metagenome. RNAcentral describes it as "partial contains 5.8S ribosomal RNA, internal transcribed spacer 2, and large subunit ribosomal RNA". The stretch from base 1 to 120 matches the Rfam family "5.8S ribosomal RNA", at positions 35 to 154 of the family's 154-position model. The record is from RNAcentral.